GCAACUAUAAUUCUUCUAACUUCUCUACAUUUUUUACCCAAAAUAUCUAAAAAGCAUCAACUAGGAUCACAAUGAAUAACCAAAAUAUCUAAAAAUUCUAUACUAGAGGGAAAAAAAAGGAAGAACACUUACAGCUCAAAAAUCUGAAAGUAAUCGUUGCAUAAAGCAACGGGUCGAAUGCUCCUACAGGAAUCAGAAUAGAGGAAUGGCAUUGUUCCAGUCUUGUAUGUGACGCAGUUCCAACACCUUUUUGUUGAAGAAUCGAGCUUUGCGGCGGAUUGGGAGCUUAAAUUUUGAAAGGAAAAGUUUGAAUUUGGGAGAAAAUGGAAGGCGUAGCAUGGAGGAACCCGAUAAGAAAUAAAGGGAUUUGGGAAAUUGGGGGUUUGGAUCACAAAGGGAUUGGAAGUUUGGGAAUUGGGGAAAAUAAUUUGAGGAAGAAUAACUUAGGGAAAUUUAGGGGAAACGAAGUUAGGAAAUUGGGGAAAUGAAGUCGGGAAAAUCUGACAUGGGGAAAACUAAAGGAAAUUCAGGGUUAAUAAAAC
RNAcentral lists this long non-coding RNA (542 nucleotides) under Gossypium raimondii (Peruvian cotton). RNAcentral describes it as "long non-coding RNA (GRAI_LNC002133)". The record is from RNAcentral. Lineage: Eukaryota; Viridiplantae; Streptophyta; Magnoliopsida; Malvales; Malvaceae.